GACAAUGUGGCCGAGUGGUUAAGGCGCUGUGUUUAGGUUGUUGGACUUCAACUAUAAUACCGCAGUGGGAAACCGCGCGAGUUCGAAUCUCGUCAUUGUCA
This is a non-coding RNA of Lasiosphaeria hispida, 101 nucleotides long. The record is from the annotation of a GenBank genome assembly. NCBI's taxonomy places the organism in Eukaryota, Fungi, Ascomycota, Sordariomycetes, Sordariales, Lasiosphaeriaceae.